Molecule: ribosomal RNA, 1222 nt
Filed under: Cutibacterium acnes HL030PA2
Lineage: Bacteria; Bacillati; Actinomycetota; Actinomycetes; Propionibacteriales; Propionibacteriaceae
Description: bacterial LSU rRNA
Rfam family: Bacterial large subunit ribosomal RNA
Source: RNAcentral
UGUGUGAUGCUAAGCAUGUGAGCUUGUCUUGGGAGUGUUUUUGAUGCUUCUGGGGUGGGUGAGUGUGUGAACCGAUCAUGUAGUAGGCAAGCUGCGGAGGGACGCAGUGAGGUAGCUCAUCCCCGGUGAUGGUUGUCCGGGGCUAAGUGUGUGGACUGUCUGGUAGGUAAAUCCGCUGGGCGUGAAGGUUGAGGCAUGAUGGGGAGCCCACGGUUGUGGGUGAGUGAGUGAUCCUGUACUGUCGAGAAAAGCUUCGUGAGCGAGGUGGCGGGUCCGCCCGUACCCUAAACCGACACUGGUGGAUAGGUAGAGUAUACCGAGGCGAUCGAGUGAAUCGUGGUGAAGGAACUCGGCAAAAUGCCCCCGUAACUUUGGGAUAAGGGGGACCUGAGCUGUCGUGCACCCGUGCGGUGUGGUGGCGGUGAGGGGCGCAGAGUCCAGGGGGAAACGACUGUUUACCAAAAACACAGGUCCGUGCGAAGUCGUAAGACGAUGUAUACGGACUGACUCCUGCCCGGUGCUGGAAGGUUAAGGGGAACUGUGAGUGUAUGCGUAGCGGUGAACUUAAGCCCCAGUAAACGGCGGUGGUAACUAUAACCAUCCUAAGGUAGCGAAAUUCCUUGUCGGGUAAGUUCCGACCUGCACGAAUGGAGUAACGAUUUCCCUACUGUCUCCACCAUGAACUCGGUGAAAUUGCAUUACGAGUAAAGAUGCUCGUUACGCGCAGCAGGACGGAAAGACCCCGGGACCUUUACUAUAGUUUGGUAUUGGUGAUUGGGACGGUUUGUGUAGGAUAGGUGGGAGACGUUGAUGCGGCCACGCUAGUGGUGGUGGAGUCGUUGGUGAAAUACCACUCUGAUUGUUCUGGUUAUCUCACUGUGGACCGUGAUCCGGUUCAAGGACAGUGCCUGAUGGGUAGUUUGACUGGGGCGGUCGCCUCCUAAAGGGUAACGGAGGCGCCCAAAGGUUCCCUCAGCCUGGUUGGUAAUCAGGUGGUGAGUGUAAGUGCACAAGGGGGCUUGACUGUGAGACUGACAGGUCGAGCAGGGACGAAAGUCGGGACUAGUGAUCUGACGGUGGCUUGUGGAUGCGCCGUCACUCAACGGAUAAAAGGUACCCCGGGGAUAACAGGCUGAUCUUGCCCGAGCGCUCAUAGCGACGGCAUGGUUUGGCACCUCGAUGUCGGCUCGUCGCAUCCUGGGGCUGGAGUCGGUCCCAAGGG